UGGAUCCAGACUUUGAUCCUGGCUCAGGAUGAACGCUAGCUACAGGCUUAACACAUGCAAGUCGAGGGGAAACGAUAUUGGUAGCUUGCUUCCGAUAGGCGUCGACCGGCGCACGGGUGAGUAACGCGUAUCCAACCUGCCCACCACUUGGGGAUAACCUUGCGAAAGUAAGGCUAAUACCCAAUGACGUCUCUAGAAGACAUCUGAAAGAGAUUAAAGAUUUAUCGGUGAUGGAUGGGGAUGCGUCUGAUUAGCUUGUUGGCGGGGUAACGGCCCACCAAGGCGACGAUCAGUAGGGGUUCUGAGAGGAAGGUCCCCCACAUUGGAACUGAGACACGGUCCAAACUCCUACGGGAGGCAGCAGUGAGGAAUAUUGGUCAAUGGACGAGAGUCUGAACCAGCCAAGUAGCGUGCAGGAAGACGGCCCUAUGGGUUGUAAACUGCUUUUAUAAGGGAAUAAAGUUAGUCUCGUGAGACUUUUUGCAUGUACCUUAUGAAUAAGGACCGGCUAAUUCCGUGCCAGCAGCCGCGGUAAUACGGAAGGUCCGGGCGUUAUCCGGAUUUAUUGGGUUUAGAGGGAGCGUAGGCCGGAGAUUAAGCGUGUUGUGAAAUGUAGAUGCUCAACAUCUGAACUGCAGCGCGAACUGGUUUCCUUGAGUACGCACAAAGUGGGCGGAAUUCGUGGUGUAGCGGUGAAAUACUUAGAUAUCACGAAGAACUCCGAUUGCGAAGGCAGCUCACUGGAGCGCAACUGACGCUGAAGCUCGAAAGUGCGGGUAUCGAACAGGAUUAGAUACCCUGGUAGUCCGCACGGUAAACGAUGGAUGCCCGCUGUUGGUCUGAAUAGGUCAGCGGCCAAGCGAAAGCAUUAAGCAUCCCACCUGGGGAGUACGCCGGCAACGGUGCAACUCAAAGGAAUUGACGGA
This 926-nucleotide ribosomal RNA is filed under the name uncultured Bacteroidota bacterium. Its description in RNAcentral is "bacterial SSU rRNA". It matches the Rfam family "Bacterial small subunit ribosomal RNA", at positions 1 to 917 of the family's 1533-position model. The record is from RNAcentral. Lineage: Bacteria; Pseudomonadati; Bacteroidota.